AUUGAACGCUGGCGGCAGGCCUAACACAUGCAAGUCGAGCGGAUGAAGGGAGCUUGCUCCUGGAUUCAGCGGCGGACGGGUGAGUAAUGCCUAGGAAUCUGCCUGGUAGUGGGGGAUAACGUCCGGAAACGGGCGCUAAUACCGCAUACGUCCUGAGGGAGAAAGUGGGGGAUCUUCGGACCUCACGCUAUCAGAUGAGCCUAGGUCGGAUUAGCUAGUUGGUGGGGUAAAGGCCUACCAAGGCGACGAUCCGUAACUGGUCUGAGAGGAUGAUCAGUCACACUGGAACUGAGACACGGUCCAUACUCCUACGGGAGGCAGCAGUGGGGAAUAUUGGACAAUGGGCGAAAGCCUGAUCCAGCCAUGCCGCGUGUGUGAAGAAGGUCUUCGGAUUGUAAAACACUUUAAGUUGGGAGGAAGGGCAGUAAGUUAAUACCUUGCUGUUUUUACGUUACCAACAGAAUAAGCACCGGCUAACUUCGUG
RNAcentral lists this ribosomal RNA (484 nucleotides) under uncultured bacterium. RNAcentral describes it as "partial 16S ribosomal RNA". It matches the Rfam family "Bacterial small subunit ribosomal RNA", at positions 30 to 507 of the family's 1533-position model. The record is from RNAcentral.